ACGCUCGACACCUACGGAAGGCAGCAGUCGGGAAUAUUGCGCAAUGGAGGAAACUCUGACGCAGUGACGCCGCGUGCAGGAAGAAGGUUUUCGGAUUGUAAACUGCUUUAGACAGGGAAGAAAAAGGACAGUACCUGUAGAAUAAGCUCCGGCUAACUACGUGCCAACAGCCGCGGUAAUCUGAGCGGGCUGGCAAGGC
RNAcentral lists this ribosomal RNA (199 nucleotides) under uncultured bacterium. Its description in RNAcentral is "partial 16S ribosomal RNA". It matches the Rfam family "Bacterial small subunit ribosomal RNA", at positions 326 to 539 of the family's 1533-position model. The record is from RNAcentral.